AUGGCGCGCGUGUACGUCGGGAGCCUGGACCCUGCUGUGACGGCCCGGGAGCUCGAGGACGAGUUCCGCGUGUUCGGGGUUCUCCGGAGUGUAUGGGUUGCAAGGAAGCCACCUGGUUUUGCAUUUGUUGAUUUUGAUGACAGGAGGGAUGCUCAGGAUGCAAUUAAAGAUUUAGAUGGCAAGAAUGGUUGGAGAGUUGAGUUGUCUCGUAAUGCCAGCAGUGGCCGUGGUGGUCGUGAUCGAUCUGGUGGAUCUGAGAUGAAGUGUUAUGAGUGUGGUGAGUCUGGUCACUUUGCCCGUGAAUGCCGUCUGAGGAUUGGUUCUGGGGGCCUAGGCAGUGGAAGGCGUCGCAGCAGGAGUCGAAGCCGUAGCCGCAGUCGGAGCCCUAGAUACCGCAGGAGUCCAAGCUAUAGCAGAAGAAGCUACAGCCGCUCUCCAAGGCGUCGUAGUGUGUCACCGGCUCGUGGGCGCAGUGUGAGCAGGUCACCAGUCCGUGGACGUGAUGAAUCUCCCGCCUAUGGCAAUGGGUAUCGCCGCAGCAGGAGCUAG
This 549-nucleotide ribosomal RNA is filed under the name Triticum aestivum (bread wheat). RNAcentral describes it as "partial small subunit ribosomal RNA". Lineage: Eukaryota; Viridiplantae; Streptophyta; Magnoliopsida; Poales; Poaceae. The record is from RNAcentral.